RNAcentral lists this ribosomal RNA (301 nucleotides) under uncultured bacterium. RNAcentral's name for it is "partial 16S ribosomal RNA". It matches the Rfam family "Bacterial small subunit ribosomal RNA", at positions 509 to 809 of the family's 1533-position model. The record is from RNAcentral.
CAGCAGCCGCGGUAAUACGGAGGGGGCUAGCGUUGUUCGGAAUUACUGGGCGUAAAGCGCACGUAGGCGGCUUGGUAAGUCUGUUGUGAAAGCCCCGGGCUCAACCUGGGAAUGGCAAUGGAUACUGGCGAGCUAGAGUGUGUCAGAGGAUGGUGGAAUUCCCGGUGUGGCGGUGAAAUGCGUAGAGAUCGGGAGGAACAUCAGUGGCGAAGGCGGCCAUCUGGGACAACACUGACGCUGAGGCACGAAAGCGUGGGGAGCAAACAGGAUUAGAUACCCCAGUAGUCCCUGUCUCUUAUAA